RNAcentral lists this long non-coding RNA (831 nucleotides) under Musa acuminata (dwarf banana). RNAcentral describes it as "long non-coding RNA (MACU_LNC006352)". The record is from RNAcentral. Lineage: Eukaryota; Viridiplantae; Streptophyta; Magnoliopsida; Zingiberales; Musaceae.
UGGUCCGAGCCAGUACACCCACUGGUGGGUCCACGACCAGCUGACGAGAGCCGGGCCGAAGGACACGGCGGGGUUCAUGGAGGCGCCAUCGAAGGGCCCGCCCACAAGGAUAUUGGCGCCGACGAUGAAGCCGAUGGCGAUGGGGGCGAUGGUGCCGAGACUUCCCUUCUUGGGGUCCACGGCGGUGGCGUAGACGGUGUACACGAGGCCGAAGGUCAUGACGAUCUCCAGCACGAGCGCCUCCCACACGCUCACCCCGGUCAGCCCGAAGGUGCCGGUCUCGAGCCCGCCGGUGGAGAAGCGGAGCAGGAGGCAGGCCACGGUGGAGCCCAGCAGCUGGGCGAUCCAGUAGAGGAUGCCUCGUAGCAGCGUGAUGUUGCCGCCCACGAAGGCGCCGAAGGUCACGGCCGGGUUCACGUGCCCACCCGAGAUGUUAGCUCCCACGGACACCGCCACAAACAGGGCGAAGCCGUGCGCCAGCGCCGCCGCGAUCAGCCCCUCGGGCGUCGCAGCCCCGUCGCUCGUCAACUUGUCUGUACGCAGGCGACCGAACGUUAGCAUCCAAGAAGACCACGAAAAGCCGAGGCAUCCAACGAAAGACAAGAUACAGGAAGAAGUUGACAAAGAAGUAGAACGCACUGUAGGCCAUGCCGGAGCCUUGGCCGGCGAAGACGAAGAUGAAGGUGCAUAUGAACUCGGCGAGCGCGGCCUUGAGUGCAGUCGGGUGGGUUGCCUCGGCCGUAGUCCCGAUGGCUAUCUGAGUGAUCGGCAUUCUUCUUCCUGCCCUCUAAAACCCUCACCACCGAGGAGCUCUUCCGCUUCAAUAAUGUA